This 329-nucleotide ribosomal RNA is filed under the name uncultured eukaryote. RNAcentral describes it as "partial 18S ribosomal RNA". It matches the Rfam family "Eukaryotic small subunit ribosomal RNA", at positions 1470 to 1796 of the family's 1831-position model. The record is from RNAcentral.
CCCUUAGAUGUUCUGGGCUGCACGCGCGCUACACUGAUGCGCUCAACGAGUUUAUGACCUUGCCCGGAAGGGUUGGGUAAUCUUCUUAAAACGCAUCGUGAUGGGGAUAGAUUAUUGCAAUUAUUAAUCUUCAACGAGGAAUUCCUAGUAAGCGCGAGUCAUCAGCUCGUGCUGAUUACGUCCCUGCCCUUUGUACACACCGCCCGUCGCUCCUACCGAUUGAAUGUGUUGGUGAGGAGCUCGGAUUGGCAGCAGUUGGUGGUUCGCCACCGGCUAUUGCUGAGAAGUCCUCCAAACCGCCCCAUUUAGAGGAAGGAGAAGUCGUAACA